AAACAAUAUUAUGGGAAAAAAAUAACGUGGGGAAAAAGUAAACGUUAAAAAGGGGAGGGAUUUUGGUAUAUUUCCUCUUUCACCUUUUUUUUUCAAACAAAAAAAUAACAGAAUAACAAAAAAUAAAAAUAAAAUAAUAAAAACAAAUCCUAACCAACCACUACCCACUAACUCCCGUAUUUAUCCCAUCACUUCUUAGAGUUUAAAACAAACCCAACUUCCACUAUAGCACAGCCCAACAAGACUAUUAAUAAAAUAAAAUAAUUCAAGCUACUCAAACCGAUACUCAAACUCAAGACCUCAAACUCACACCCCAAA
Molecule: long non-coding RNA, 318 nt
Filed under: Gossypium raimondii (Peruvian cotton)
Lineage: Eukaryota; Viridiplantae; Streptophyta; Magnoliopsida; Malvales; Malvaceae
Description: long non-coding RNA (GRAI_LNC008279)
Source: RNAcentral